Molecule: long non-coding RNA, 281 nt
Filed under: Brassica napus (rape)
Lineage: Eukaryota; Viridiplantae; Streptophyta; Magnoliopsida; Brassicales; Brassicaceae
Description: long non-coding RNA (BNAP_LNC000893)
Source: RNAcentral
GGCCAUAGAUUUGCUUCUCAAAACUCUUAGUUGAUGAUCUCGAUCCAACCUUAUCCCGGAUCAACCUUAUGUUAUAUUAUGUCUUUCAUUUCAUGCUUUUGUUUUCAAACUUGUCAUUUGUUUCUAUUUCCAAGAGAGCCGUGUGCCUUUACUCUCUUGAUAGUUUUCGAGAAGCUUGGAGUCUGUUCCAACUUCUCUUAUAUAAGUGUACUUUGAACCCCUUUAUCAAAAAUCAAUUAUCUUUUUAUCAAAACCUUUCUUUGUUCUCUCUACUGCUUGUC